This 68-nucleotide transfer RNA is filed under the name Cazira horvathi. RNAcentral's name for it is "tRNA-Ser". Lineage: Eukaryota; Metazoa; Arthropoda; Insecta; Hemiptera; Pentatomidae. The record is from RNAcentral.
AGAGAAUGAAGAAUCUAAAAGAAGCUGCUAACUAUCUUUUAUAAGCGGUUAAACUCCGUUUUUCUCUU